UAAUACAUGCAAGUAGAACGCUGAAGGAGGAGCUUGCUUCUCUGGAUGAGUUGCGAACGGGUGAGUAACGCGUAGGUAACCUGCCUGGUAGCGGGGGAUAACUAUUGGAAACGAUAGCUAAUACCGCAUAAGAGUAGAUGUUGCAUGACAUUUGCUUAAAAGGUGCAAUUGCAUCACUACCAGAUGGACCUGCGUUGUAUUAGCUAGUUGGUGAGGUAACGGCUCACCAAGGCAACGAUACAUAGCCGACCUGAGAGGGUGAUCGGCCACACUGGGACUGAGACACGGCCCAGACUCCUACGGGAGGCAGCAGUAGGGAAUCUUCGGCAAUGGACGGAAGUCUGACCGAGCAACGCCGCGUGAGUGAAGAAGGUUUUCGGAUCGUAAAGCUCUGUUGUAAGAGAAGAAACGAGUGUGAGAAGUGGAAAAGUUUCACAACUGUG
Molecule: ribosomal RNA, 443 nt
Filed under: Streptococcus mitis
Lineage: Bacteria; Bacillati; Bacillota; Bacilli; Lactobacillales; Streptococcaceae
Description: bacterial SSU rRNA
Rfam family: Bacterial small subunit ribosomal RNA
Source: RNAcentral